RNAcentral lists this unclassified non-coding RNA (217 nucleotides) under Hevea brasiliensis (rubber tree). Lineage: Eukaryota; Viridiplantae; Streptophyta; Magnoliopsida; Malpighiales; Euphorbiaceae. The record is from RNAcentral.
ACGGUGAUCCCCUGCAUCAUGCACUUGAACUCGCCGAAGUCGACGCGGCCGUCGCAGUCGCGGUCGACGUUGCAGAUCAUCUCCUGCACCGUGGCGAGGUUCCGGGCCUCGGGGAGGCCGAGCUUCUUGAGCACGGCCUGCAGCUCGGCGGCGGAGAUGAAGCCGUCGCCGUCCUCGUCGAACACCCCUCGUCUGCCUCAUCUCCCCUCUGCCGCCG